GUAGUCAGUAAGUGUUGAAGGAAAUGUAGCUCGCGGCUAGAAGUAAGAAUCAGUGUAGGAUCCUUCGGUCUAAGUCAAUGUUGGGCUCAGGACCUCUCUUGGAUCGAUGUCUGGCGUUCGAAUAUCAUCUUAGAGUCGGUGGUUAAGAAUCUGCGAGUGGAGCUAUGAUGGACAACCAAAGCCAAGUUUAGUAGCUAAAUCUAGGGUGGGUGGCCGAAAUCAGGAUCGAUCGGAUCUUCUACCAACCGUCACAG
This 254-nucleotide long non-coding RNA is filed under the name Elaeis guineensis (African oil palm). Its description in RNAcentral is "long non-coding RNA (EGUI_LNC031553)". Lineage: Eukaryota; Viridiplantae; Streptophyta; Magnoliopsida; Arecales; Arecaceae. The record is from RNAcentral.